RNAcentral lists this transfer RNA (61 nucleotides) under Podarcis lilfordi (Lilford's wall lizard). RNAcentral's name for it is "tRNA.Ser". It matches the Rfam family "tRNA", at positions 8 to 63 of the family's 71-position model. Rfam says of the family: Transfer RNA (tRNA) molecules are approximately 80 nucleotides in length. Their secondary structure includes four short double-helical elements and three loops (D, anti-codon, and T loops). Lineage: Eukaryota; Metazoa; Chordata; Lepidosauria; Squamata; Lacertidae. The record is from RNAcentral.
GUGGCUCUGUGGUAAGAGCAUCUGCUUUGAACGCAGAAGGUCCCAGGUUCAAUCCUGGACA